UGAACGCUGGCGGCAGGCCUAACACAUGCAAGUCGAGCGGUAGCACAGAGAGCUUGCUCUCGGGUGACGAGCGGCGGACGGGUGAGUAAUGUCUGGGAAACUGCCUGAUGGAGGGGGAUAACUACUGGAAACGGUAGCUAAUACCGCAUAAUGUCGCAAGACCAAAGUGGGGGACCUUCGGGCCUCAUGCCAUCAGAUGUGCCCAGAUGGGAUUAGCUAGUAGGUGGGGUAACGGCUCACCUAGGCGACGAUCCCUAGCUGGUCUGAGAGGAUGACCAGCCACACUGGAACUGAGACACGGUCCAGACUCCUACGGGAGGCAGCAGUGGGGAAUAUUGCACAAUGGGCGCAAGCCUGAUGCAGCCAUGCCGCGUGUGUGAAGAAGGCCUUCGGGUUGUAAAGCACUUUCAGCGGGGAGGAAGGCGAUGAGGUUAAUAACCUCGUCGAUUGACGUUACCCGCAGAAGAAGCACCGGCUAACUCCGUGCCAGCAGCCGCGGUAAUACGGAGGGUGCAAGCGUUAAUCGGAAUUACUGGGCGUAAAGCGCACGCAGGCGGUCUGUCAAGUCGGAUGUGAAAUCCCCGGGCUCAACCUGGGAACUGCAUUCGAAACUGGCAGGCUAGAGUCUUGUAGAGGGGGGUAGAAUUCCAGGUGUAGCGGUGAAAUGCGUAGAGAUCUGGAGGAAUACCGGUGGCGAAGGCGGCCCCCUGGACAAAGACUGACGCUCAGGUGCGAAAGCGUGGGGAGCAAACAGGAUUAGAUACCCUGGUAGUCCACGCCGUAAACGAUGUCGAUUUGGAGGUUGUGCCCUUGAGGCGUGGCUUCCGGAGCUAACGCGUUAAAUCGACCGCCUGGGGAGUACGGCCGCAAGGUUA
Molecule: ribosomal RNA, 875 nt
Filed under: Klebsiella pneumoniae
Lineage: Bacteria; Pseudomonadati; Pseudomonadota; Gammaproteobacteria; Enterobacterales; Enterobacteriaceae
Description: bacterial SSU rRNA
Rfam family: Bacterial small subunit ribosomal RNA
Source: RNAcentral